Prosopis cineraria is the source of this 741-nucleotide long non-coding RNA. RefSeq lists it as uncharacterized. The record is from RefSeq and is a predicted model, not a curated record. NCBI's taxonomy places the organism in Eukaryota, Viridiplantae, Streptophyta, Magnoliopsida, Fabales, Fabaceae. The transcript is spliced from 2 exons.
UGGGGGAGGAGAAGGAAGUGGCCGACUCGAAAGAUAGAGAAGACAGAUAUGACAGCAGCUCAAUGGAAAAGUCAUAGGCGUGGGAGGGUGGGAAAGAGAUCCAGACACACAUACUUGCCGAUCUCUCUUUCCUAUGCCUCCCAUGCCCUUGCCUUUCCCUUUCUCUCUCUACACCAUCCUUCUUCUUCUUCUUCUUCACCUAUACACAUACAGCUCUCUGCUACCACAUGGGAAAUCUCACAGGCUUGGGAGCUUUGGAAAGAAACACACCAUUUAUCUGUGCGUGUUUAAAAGCACGCGCACAUAUCUUUUUUUUCCGACGCCUCCCAUGCCCUUGAGUUUUCCCUUCAUAUUCUCUCCGGUCGAUCUGGAUCUGCAACUUCUUCUUCAGCUCUGUUACGAAAUCUUUUAUAUUUUGUUACUGAGUUAUGGAUCUGUUUCGUCUCGAAUUUUGAUCGGCUUAAGUUGUCAGAUCUGAAUGUUCCUGCCUCUAAUCUGGAGUUCCCUCAUGUGUUUGACUGAUGGCUCACAAAGAAUCGACUAGGAGGUCAUUGAUCUUUAGGAAGCUCUAGUCUUUUGAGCUGCAACAUACUCCAGAAUUUCCCACAGUACUGCAGGAAGAAAUAUAUAUUAUUUACCGUUCUCUCCACGCGUUAGACUUGUUAGAAGUACGUCAAGAAAAAUUUUGGUACUGAGUGAAUGAACUUUAUGGACUGUGCUUAAUUAAGAUGAAUUUUUAAA